AAGGGCACCACAAGAACGCGUGGAGCAUGUGGCUUAAUUUGACUCAACGCGGGAAAUCUUACCGGGUCCGGACACACUGAGGAUUGACAGAUAUACGCUCAUUGCAUGUGCUUCGGCGCUGCUUUGAGCUGAAAGAUGCUAGUUCUUUCAUGAUUAUGUGAUAGGUGGUGCAUGGCCGUUCUUAGUUCGUGGAGUGAUCUGUCUGCUUAAUUGCGUAUCAAUAAUAGAGACCUAGUAUACGCGUGGAUUUCGCGUGGUAGUGACCCCCUGUUUCAACGCAGGCGUGUGUCGCACACGCGUGCCGCGCACUGGUCUCAGAUAGCAACGAACGUGACCGUAUUCUAUUGUUGCAGUGAAUAUGUGUGCCUUCGGGCGUACGACCCACUGCUUAGUAUAUGCACGCCUCGGCGAGCAAUAUACAUUAAACUAUAGAGACCGCUGUUUCUUCUUUAAACCAGAGGAAGGAUACGGCAAUAACAGGUCUGUGAUGCCCUCAGAUGUUCCGGGCUGCACACGUGCUACAAUGAUCAUUGCACUGUGCAUCUAACCCAAUGUGCGUGGACGCCGCAUGUUUGUGCCUUCGGGUACACGCAUUGCUGAGCGACCACGCCGAACCUACUUCGAAAGUAAAAUUUCUCUGUGGGUAAUCCAUUAGAAGUAAUGACUCGCAUAGACCAUGGCACACCAAAUGUACGCGCAGGUCUACCCGGCUCGCCUUUGUGUGAGUGCAGUGCGUAGCUUGUUGUUUCGUACGUGCCACUCCGUAUUAAUUCGUACGUGGGGAUAGAUCAUUGUUUAAUUGUUGGUCUCGGUCUUAACUAGGAAUGCCUUGUACGGGUCUCUGGUUCAACAUACCACCCGGAAUACGUCCCUGCCCUUUGUACACACCGCCCGUCGCUCUUACCGAUGGAUUAUGCUAUGAAUCUAUAGGACUGCCAAAGUUGCCUCGGCUGCUUAGUGGAAAUAUAUAUGAAUAGCGUGAUCUAAAGGAAAGAGAAGUCGUAACAAGGCAUCGGUAGGUGAACCU
RNAcentral lists this ribosomal RNA (1027 nucleotides) under Ammonia sp. RNAcentral describes it as "SSU rRNA". It matches the Rfam family "Eukaryotic small subunit ribosomal RNA", at positions 1160 to 1816 of the family's 1831-position model. The record is from RNAcentral. Lineage: Eukaryota; Foraminifera; Rotaliida; Rotaliidae.